CCUACGGGUGGCAGCAGUGAGGAAUAUUGGUCAAUUUUCUUAAGCCUUAACCAUCCAAUUAUCUUGCGUGAUGAAGGCCCUACGGGUCGUAAACCGCUUUUGCACGGGGAUAAAACCCUCCACUUGUGGAGGUCUGCAGGUACCGUGCGAAUAAGGGCCGGCUAAUUCCGUGCCAGCAGCCGCGGUAAUACGGAAGGCCCGAGCGUUAUCCGGAUUCAUUGGGCUUAAAGGGAGCGUAGGCGGGCGUUCAAGUCAGCUGUAAAAUCGCGCGGCUCAACCGCGCCCCGCAGUUGAAACUGGACGCCUUGAGUUCACAACAGGCAGGCGGAAUUCGUGGUGUAGCGGUGAAAUGCAUAGAGAUCACGAGGAACCCCGAUUGCGAAGGCAGCCUGCCGGGGUGCGACUGACGCUGAGGCUCGAAGGUGCGGGUAUCAAACAGGAUUAGAUACCCUUGUAGUC
This 459-nucleotide ribosomal RNA is filed under the name uncultured bacterium. RNAcentral describes it as "partial 16S ribosomal RNA". It matches the Rfam family "Bacterial small subunit ribosomal RNA", at positions 338 to 795 of the family's 1533-position model. The record is from RNAcentral.